Molecule: ribosomal RNA, 497 nt
Filed under: uncultured bacterium
Lineage: Bacteria
Description: partial 16S ribosomal RNA
Rfam family: Bacterial small subunit ribosomal RNA
Source: RNAcentral
GAUGAACGCUGGCGGCGUGCCUAAUACAUGCAAGUCGAGCGAACAGACGAGGAGCUUGCUCCUCUGACGUUAGCGGCGGACGGGUGAGUAACACGUGGAUAACCUACCUAUAAGACUGGGAUAACUUCGGGAAACCGGAGCUAAUACCGGAUAAUAUAUUGAACCGCAUGGUUCAAUAGUGAAAGACGGUUUUGCUGUCACUUAUAGAUGGAUCCGCGCCGCAUUAGCUAGUUGGUAAGGUAACGGCUUACCAAGGCAACGAUGCGUAGCCGACCUGAGAGGGUGAUCGGCCACACUGGAACUGAGACACGGUCCAGACUCCUACGGGAGGCAGCAGUGGAGAAUCUUCCGCAAUGGGCGAAAGCUUGACGGAGCAACGCCGCGUGAGUGAUGAAGGUCUUCGGAUCGUAAAACUCUGUUAUUAGGGAAGAACAAAUGUGUAAGUAACUAUGCACGUCUUGACGGUACCUAAUCAGAAAGCCACGGCUAACUACGUG